This 251-nucleotide ribosomal RNA is filed under the name uncultured prokaryote. RNAcentral describes it as "partial 16S ribosomal RNA". It matches the Rfam family "Bacterial small subunit ribosomal RNA", at positions 524 to 774 of the family's 1533-position model. The record is from RNAcentral.
UACGGAGGAUGCAAGCGUUAUCCGGAUUCAUUGGGUUUAAAGGGUGCGUAGGCGGACUAUUAAGUCAGUGGUGAAAUCCUGCAGCUUAACUGCAGAACUGCCGUUGAUACUGAUAGUCUUGAGUUUGGUUAAGGUAGGCGGAAUGUGUAAUGUAGCGGUGAAAUGCUUAGAUAUUACACAGAACACCAAUUGCGUAGGCAGCUUACUGAGCUAUUACUGACGCUGAUGCACGAAAGCGUUGGGAUCAAACA